RNAcentral lists this unclassified non-coding RNA (250 nucleotides) under Colletotrichum spaethianum. RNAcentral's name for it is "partial contains small subunit ribosomal RNA, internal transcribed spacer 1, and 5.8S ribosomal RNA". The stretch from base 1 to 46 matches the Rfam family "Eukaryotic small subunit ribosomal RNA", at positions 1786 to 1831 of the family's 1831-position model. RNAcentral also lists the same sequence under 3 other names. Lineage: Eukaryota; Fungi; Ascomycota; Sordariomycetes; Glomerellales; Glomerellaceae. The record is from RNAcentral.
AAGUCGUAACAAGGUCUCCGUUGGUGAACCAGCGGAGGGAUCAUUACUGAGUUACCGCUCUAUAACCCUUUGUGAACAUACCUAACUGUUGCUUCGGCGGGCAGGGGGUCCCCUCGGGGACGCCCUCCCGGCCACGCCCUUCACGGGGCGAGGCGCCCGCCGGAGGAUACCAAACUCUAUUUUAACGACGUUUCUUCUGAGUGGCACAAGCAAAUAAUUAAAACUUUUAACAACGGAUCUCUUGGUUCUG